This 495-nucleotide ribosomal RNA is filed under the name uncultured bacterium. Its description in RNAcentral is "bacterial SSU rRNA". It matches the Rfam family "Bacterial small subunit ribosomal RNA", at positions 30 to 518 of the family's 1533-position model. The record is from RNAcentral.
UGAACGCUAGCUACAGGCUUAACACAUGCAAGUCGAGGGCAGCAUGUGUGCUGCAACAAUGAUGGCGACCGGCGCACGGGUGAGUAACGCGUAUCCAACCUUCCCCAUAGUAGAGGAUAGCCCGGCGAAAGUCCGGAUUAAUACUCUAUGUUGUGUCAUGAGGACAUCUGAAUAACACCAAAGAUUUAUCGCUAUGGGAUGGGGAUGCGUCUGAUUAGCUUGUCGGCGGGGUAACGGCCCACCGAGGCAACGAUCAGUAGGGGUUCUGAGAGGAAGGUCCCCCACAUUGGUACUGAGACACGGACCAAACUCCUACGGGAGGCAGCAGUGAGGAAUAUUGGUCAAUGGGCGCGAGCCUGAACCAGCCAAGUAGCGUGCAGGAAUGACUGCCCUAUGGCUUGUAAACUGCUUUUAUGCGGGAAUAAAGUCAGGUACGUGUACCUGUUUGUAUGUACCGCAUGAAUAAGGACCGGCUAAUUCCGUGCCAGCCGCUGC